RNAcentral lists this ribosomal RNA (429 nucleotides) under Bacteroidota bacterium. RNAcentral describes it as "Bacteroidetes bacterium partial 16S ribosomal RNA". It matches the Rfam family "Bacterial small subunit ribosomal RNA", at positions 355 to 776 of the family's 1533-position model. Lineage: Bacteria; Pseudomonadati; Bacteroidota. The record is from RNAcentral.
UAGGGAAUCUUCCGCAAUGGACGCAAGUCUGACGGAGCAACGCCGCGUGAGUGAAGAAGGUUUUCGGAUCGUAAAGCUCUGUUGUUAAGGAAGAACGAGUGUGAGAAUGGAAAGUUCAUGCUGUGACGGUACUUAACCAGAAAGGGACGGCUAACUACGUGCCAGCAGCCGCGGUAAUACGUAGGUCCCGAGCGUUGUCCGGAUUUAUUUGGCGUAAAGCGAGCGCAGGCGGUUAGAAAAGUCUGAAGUGAAAGGCAGUGGCUCAACCAUUGUAGGCUUUGGAAACUGUUUAACUUGAGUGCAGAAGGGGAGAGUGGAAUUCCAUGUGUAGCGGUGAAAUGCGUAGAUAUAUGGAGGAACACCGGUGGCGAAAGCGGCUCUCUGGUCUGUAACUGACGCUGAGGCUCGAAAGCGUGGGGAGCGAACAGG